GAUGAAGAACGUAGCGAAAUGCGAUAAGUAGUGUGAAUUGCAGAAUUCAGUGAAUCAUCGAAUCUUUGAACGCACAUUGCGCCCCAUGGUAUUCCGUGGGGCAUGCCUGUUCGAGCGUCAUUUACUCCCUCAAGCUCCGCUUGGUGUUGGGCGUCUGUCCCGCUUCGCGCGCGGACUCGCCCCAAAGGUAUUGGCAGCGGUCGUGCCAGCUUCUCGCGCAGCACAUUGCGCUUCUCGAGGCACCGGUGGGCCCGCGUCCAUCAAGCUCACCCCCCCAGUUUGACCUCGGAUCAGGUAGGGAUACCCGCUGAACUUAAGCAUAUCAAUAAGCGGAGGA
This 337-nucleotide unclassified non-coding RNA is filed under the name soil metagenome. RNAcentral's name for it is "partial contains 5.8S ribosomal RNA, internal transcribed spacer 2, and large subunit ribosomal RNA". The stretch from base 1 to 120 matches the Rfam family "5.8S ribosomal RNA", at positions 35 to 154 of the family's 154-position model. The record is from RNAcentral.